Molecule: non-coding RNA, 148 nt
Filed under: Gorilla gorilla gorilla (western lowland gorilla)
Lineage: Eukaryota; Metazoa; Chordata; Mammalia; Primates; Hominidae
Source: Rfam by way of RNAcentral
GCCGGGUGUGGUGGCGGGUGCCUGUAAUCCCAGCUACUGGGGAGGCUGAGGCGGGAGAAUCGUUUGAACCCGGGAGGCAGAGGUUGCAGUGAGCCGAGAUGGCACCACUGCACUCCAGCCUGGGUGACAGAGCGAUACUCUGUCUCAG